Molecule: transfer RNA, 70 nt
Filed under: Phrynosoma platyrhinos (Desert horned lizard)
Lineage: Eukaryota; Metazoa; Chordata; Lepidosauria; Squamata; Phrynosomatidae
Description: tRNA-OTHER
Source: RNAcentral
ACCAGCAUGGUGUAGUGGUUUGUGUGUUGGACUAUAACUCUGGAGAUCAGGGUUCGAAUCCCUGCUUGAC